AAUGGGGGAAACCCUGAUCCAGCCAUCCCGCGUGUGCGAUGAAGGCCUUCGGGUUGUAAAGCACUUUUGGCAGGAAAGAAACGUCAUGGGCUAAUACCCCGUGAAACUGACGGUACCUGCAGAAUAAGCACCGGCUAACUACGUGCCAGCAGCCGCGGUAAUACGUAGGGUGCAAGCGUUAAUCGGAAUUACUGGGCGUAAAGCGUGCGCAGGCGGUUCGGAAAGAAAGAUGUGAAAUCCCAGAGCUUAACUUUGGAACUGCAUUUUUAACUACCGGGCUAGAGUGUGUCAGAGGGAGGUGGAAUUCCGCGUGUAGCAGUGAAAUGCGUAGAUAUGCGGAGGAACACCGAUGGCGAAGGCAGCCUCCUGGGAUAACACUGACGCUCAUGCACGAAAGCGUGGGGAGCAAACAGGAUUAGAUACCCUGGUAGUCCACGCCCUAAACGAUGUCAACUAGCUGUUGGGGCCUUCGGGCCUUGGUAGCGCAGCUAACGCGUGAAG
Molecule: ribosomal RNA, 501 nt
Filed under: Achromobacter sp.
Lineage: Bacteria; Pseudomonadati; Pseudomonadota; Betaproteobacteria; Burkholderiales; Alcaligenaceae
Description: bacterial SSU rRNA
Rfam family: Bacterial small subunit ribosomal RNA
Source: RNAcentral